UACGUAGGUGGCAAGCGUUAUCCGGAAUUAUUGGGCGUAAAGAGCGCGCAGGUGGUUGAUUAAGUCUGAUGUGAAAGCCCACGGCUUAACCGUGGAGGGUCAUUGGAAACUGGUCGACUUGAGUGCAGAAGAGGGAAGUGGAAUUCCAUGUGUAGCGGUGAAAUACGUAGAGAUAUGGAGGAACACCAGUGGCGAAGGCGGCUUCCUGGUCUGUAACUGACACUGAGGCGCGAAAGCGUGGGGAGCAAACAGGAUUAGAUACCCU
Molecule: ribosomal RNA, 265 nt
Filed under: uncultured prokaryote
Description: partial 16S ribosomal RNA
Rfam family: Bacterial small subunit ribosomal RNA
Source: RNAcentral